This 120-nucleotide small nuclear RNA is filed under the name Triticum aestivum (bread wheat). Its description in RNAcentral is "snRNA U5". It matches the Rfam family "U5 spliceosomal RNA". From Rfam's summary of the family: U5 RNA is a component of both types of known spliceosome. The precise function of this molecule is unknown, though it is known that the 5' loop is required for splice site selection and p220 binding, and that both the 3' stem-loop and the Sm site are important for Sm protein binding and cap methylation. Lineage: Eukaryota; Viridiplantae; Streptophyta; Magnoliopsida; Poales; Poaceae. The record is from Rfam by way of RNAcentral. RNAcentral also lists the same sequence under 1 other name.
AGCUGCGUGGUGAGCACAAAGCGAACUAUUCUUUCGCCUUUUACUAAAGAAUACCGUGUGCACGCCACACUAAGCAGCAUACCCUUAUUUUUGGAGGGCGUCUCUUCUUUGUGAGGAGGC